UGGACCUCGACGCGCGCUACGCACUGGAAACAAAAGCGCGCAGAGACCUCUGUCUGCGGAGGUGAACUCCAGCAAAUACGUUUAGGAGGAAAGUAACAAUUAUUUUACUAACUCGAAUAGUAACAGUGGUAUCCCAUGUUAAAUGGUUAUACUUUCUUACGUUGGUUGUUAUAAUUUGAAGAUUCAAGAAAAGCGUAUAGCAAGCAUAUGGGCCAUACACAUUUGUACAGGGCCAAAUAUUCAGUAAAGGACAACAUUAUUUUUGACCAUCAGAUGACAAGAUACGGUAUCAACUGGACAUAGGCUACAGUAUAAGGUAACGAUCACAAGAGGAAGUAUCACAAGAGGAAGUAUCACAAGAGGAGGUAUCACAAUAGGAUGUGUCAUGAGGAAAUAUCACACAAGGAAUUGUCACAAGGAGAAGUAUCACAAACGGAAGUGUCACAAGAGGAAGUAUCACAAUAAGAAGUGUCAUACAAGGAAGUGUCAUACGAGGAAGUGUCACACAAGGAAGUGUCACGAGGAAGUGGCACAAUAUGAAGUGUCACAAGAGGAAGCAUCGCAAGAGGAAGUAACAC
RNAcentral lists this long non-coding RNA (578 nucleotides) under Salmo salar (Atlantic salmon). Its description in RNAcentral is "lncRNA (ENSSSAG00000104810.1)". The record is from RNAcentral. Lineage: Eukaryota; Metazoa; Chordata; Actinopteri; Salmoniformes; Salmonidae.